Molecule: ribosomal RNA, 760 nt
Filed under: uncultured bacterium
Lineage: Bacteria
Description: bacterial SSU rRNA
Rfam family: Bacterial small subunit ribosomal RNA
Source: RNAcentral
AACGAACGCUUGCGGCGUGGAUAAGACAUGCAAGUCGAACGAGAGAAUUGCUAGCUUGCUAAUAAUUCUCUAGUGGCGCACGGGUGAGUAACACGUGAGUAACCUGCCCCCGAGAGCGGGAUAGCCCUGGGAAACUGGGAUUAAUACCGCAUAGUAUCGAAAGAUUAAAGCAGCAAUGCGCUUGGGGAUGGGCUCGCGGCCUAUUAGUUAGUUGGUGAGGUAACGGCUCACCAAGGCGAUGACGGGUAGCCGGUCUGAGAGGAUGUCCGGCCACACUGGAACUGAGACACGGUCCAGACACCUACGGGUGGCAGCAGUCGAGAAUCAUUCACAAUGGGGGAAACCCUGAUGGUGCGACGCCGCGUGGGGGAAUGAAGGUCUUCGGAUUGUAAACCCCUGUCAUGUGGGAGCAAAUUAAAAAGAUAGUACCACAAGAGGAAGAGACGGCUAACUCUGUGCCAGCAGCCGCGGUAAUACAGAGGUCUCAAGCGUUGUUCGGAAUCACUGGGCGUAAAGCGUGCGUAGGCUGUUUCGUAAGUUGUGUGUGAAAGGCGCGGGCUCAACCCGCGGACGGCACAUGAUACUGCGAGACUAGAGUAAUGGAGGGGGAACCGGAAUUCUCGGUGUAGCAGUGAAAUGCGUAGAUAUCGAGAGGAACACUCGUGGCGAAGGCGGGUUCCUGGACAUUAACUGACGCUGAGGCACGAAGGCCAGGGGAGCGAAAGGGAUUAGAUACCCCUGUAGUCCUGGCAGUAAACGG